AGCGAACGCUGGCGGCAGGCCUAACACAUGCAAGUCGAACGAGCCUUCGGGCUAGUGGCGGACGGGUGAGUAACACGUGGGAACGUACCUCUAGGUUCGGAAUAACUCAGGGAAACUUGAGCUGAUACCGGAUGUGCCCUUCGGGGGAAAGAUUUAUCGCCUUUAGAGCGGCCCGCGUUAGAUUAGCUAGUUGGUGGGGUAAUGGCCCACCAAGGCUACGAUCUAUAGCUGGUCUGAGAGGAUGAUCAGCCACACUGGGACCGAGACACGGACCAGACUCCUACGGGAGGCAGCAGUGGGGAAUCUUGCGCAAUGGGCGAAAGCCUGACGCAGCCAUGCCGCGUGAAUGAUGAAGGUCUUAGGAUUGUAAAAUUCUUUUAGCAGGGACGAUAAUGACGGUACCUGCAGAAAAAGCCCCGGCUAACUUCGUGCCAGCAGCCGCAGUAA
RNAcentral lists this ribosomal RNA (447 nucleotides) under uncultured bacterium. RNAcentral describes it as "partial 16S ribosomal RNA". It matches the Rfam family "Bacterial small subunit ribosomal RNA", at positions 29 to 523 of the family's 1533-position model. The record is from RNAcentral.